CCAUGGGAACAGGCCCCUUUGUCACACAUGGAAGACAGAUGUAAAUCCCAAAAGACGUUGGGAAAUGGCACAGCCGAUGAAAACCUCACGAUGACAGUAGUUGGGACACUGGAAAUGGCUAGCACGUCCAGAGGCGCAGGAUCCAGCGCAGCCAUGCCCAUUCGGCUCACCAAAAAAAGCUUGGAAGCACUGCUGCAAAGAACAGCGCGGAUUACUCACAUCACCUCUAGGUUCACUAAAGUCAGGCACUUUGGGGGGAGUUGAGAGUCAGACUUCCGUGUGCUGCUGGGAAUCCAGGGGCGGGAUCGUCACCUCUUCGAAGUGGCCGUCGUCCCCGCUCUCAUAGUCACUCAUCAUGACCUCGGACUCCACUUCGCAGCAGGCUGACACGUCAGAGCAGGAGGCGGUGGAGGCGUACACAGACAUGGGCAUGCUCUCGACAGCGGGCGCCUCGAAGUGUCUUUGAUACCCUGGCGGGUAAGGGGCAUGGGGUUCUCUACAAGUACUAUUCUCACCAGUGCCUUUUGUUUGAGGUUCAGACAUAUCGAGGGGAUAAAAAUUGGGCAAAUACUGAUUCAAGUUGAACCUCUGCCGGUUUCUUGAUGAAGAACCCAAGCUACCCGCGGCAGGCAUGUCUCUAGGAGGGUGGAUGGAUUCAAACUGAUUGCUGAAUUCGGGCGGUAACGGUGGUAGCUCAUCAGCUGCGGGGAAGUCUUCUGGGGGUGGAGGAAAAUCACUUUCGAUGUCGUAGCCUCCAGGGUAAUAGUCCGUAUCGAUGGCGUUUGGAUCUGCUGAGUACAGGGGUGUCUGCUCAUCAAUCACCUCAUAGUUGGGGAACUCUUGUAUGUCCGGCAGAGGAACGCUUGGCAUCCAAUCUGAUGUAUCCCAGUGAUACCCUUGGUGGAAAAGAAAACAGAUGUCAGUGUGUUUUCUCCUAAGCUUUUGUGCCAUGGAAAGAGAGCUCAGUGUAUCAAAGACACAAAGAUGCAACCGCAUUUAUGCCUUCAUUCAAAGUUCACCACUGGAAAUUCCUCGUCUUUGCUUUGAAGACAUCCCCCAACCCACUC
Molecule: long non-coding RNA, 1067 nt
Filed under: Homo sapiens (human)
Lineage: Eukaryota; Metazoa; Chordata; Mammalia; Primates; Hominidae
Description: long non-coding RNA NONHSAT099667.2
Source: RNAcentral